UUUGAAGGGCCGCAGUAUUACUGACUGUGCAAAGGUAGCAUAAUCAUUAGGUUUUUAAUUAGAAUCUUGUAUGAAUGGUUGGACGAAAGAGAUACUGUCUUUAUAAUUAGUUUGAAUUUAACUUAGUGAAAAGGCUUAAAUGGACUAAGGGGACGAUAAGACCCUAUAAAGCUUUACAUUGGGGCUAAAUAAAGUUAAAUUUAUUUUAUAAGAAUUAAAUUUAGUUAUUUGUUAUGUUGGGGAGACAAUAGUAAAAUUUAUAGUAACUGCUGGUUAUAUAAACAAUUUUUGAUGAUUUUUUUAUAGAUCCAUAAUAAUGAUUAUAAGAUUAAGUUACUUUAGGGAUAACAGCGUUAUUUCUUUUGAGAGCUCAUAUCGAAAAAGAAGAUUGCGACCUCGAUGUUGAAUUAAAUUGUCUAUAUAAUGUAGGCGUUAUAUAAGAAGGUCUGUUCGACCUUUAAAUAUUUACAUGAUUUGAGUUCAGACCGGCAUAAGCCAGGUUGGUUUCUAUCUCUUAGUGGAUUAAAAAUUAUUU
RNAcentral lists this ribosomal RNA (535 nucleotides) under Buea sp. 1 PAMN-2019. RNAcentral's name for it is "partial large subunit ribosomal RNA". It matches the Rfam family "Archaeal large subunit ribosomal RNA", at positions 1999 to 2732 of the family's 2987-position model. The record is from RNAcentral. Lineage: Eukaryota; Metazoa; Arthropoda; Malacostraca; Decapoda; Potamonautidae.